RNAcentral lists this transfer RNA (67 nucleotides) under Marmota monax (woodchuck). RNAcentral's name for it is "tRNA.Ala". It matches the Rfam family "tRNA". Rfam says of the family: Transfer RNA (tRNA) molecules are approximately 80 nucleotides in length. Their secondary structure includes four short double-helical elements and three loops (D, anti-codon, and T loops). Further hydrogen bonds mediate the characteristic L-shaped molecular structure. tRNAs have two regions of fundamental functional importance: the anti-codon, which is responsible for specific mRNA codon recognition, and the 3' end, to which the tRNAs corresponding amino acid is attached (by aminoacyl-tRNA synthetases). tRNAs cope with the degeneracy of the genetic code in two manners: having more than one tRNA (with a specific anti-codon) for a particular amino acid; and 'wobble' base-pairing, i.e. permitting non-standard base-pairing at the 3rd anti-codon position. The record is from RNAcentral. Lineage: Eukaryota; Metazoa; Chordata; Mammalia; Rodentia; Sciuridae.
GGUUGUGGCUCCGUGGUAGAGCACUUGCUUAGCAUGCGAGAGGCACUGGGUUUGAUCCCCAGCACCA